AUUGAACGCUGGCGGCAGGCUUAACACAUGCAAGUCGAGCGGGGGAAGGUAGCUUGCUACUGGACCUAGCGGCGGACGGGUGAGUAAUGCUUAGGAAUCUGCCUAUUAGUGGGGGACAACAUCUCGAAAGGGAUGCUAAUACCGCAUACGUCCUACGGACGAAAGCAGGGGAGCUUCGGACCUUGCGCUAAUAGAUGAGCCUAAGUCGGAUUAGCUAGUUGGUGGGGGAAAGGCCUACCAAGGCGACGAUCUGAAGCGGGUCUGAGAGGAUGAGCCGCCAAACUGGGACUGAGACACGGCCCCGACGCCUACGGGAGGCAGCAGUGGGGAAUAUUGGACAAUGGGGGGAACCCUGAUCCAGCCAUGCCGCGUGUGUGAAGAAGGCCUUAUGGUUGUAAAGCACUUUAAGCGAGGAGGAGGCUACUCUAGUUAAUACCUAGGGAUAGUGGACGUUACUCGCAGAAUAAGCACCGGCUAACUCUGUGCCAGCCGCCGCAGUAA
Molecule: ribosomal RNA, 501 nt
Filed under: uncultured bacterium
Lineage: Bacteria
Description: partial 16S ribosomal RNA
Rfam family: Bacterial small subunit ribosomal RNA
Source: RNAcentral